Cannabis sativa is the source of this 567-nucleotide long non-coding RNA. RefSeq lists it as uncharacterized. The record is from RefSeq and is a predicted model, not a curated record. Lineage: Eukaryota; Viridiplantae; Streptophyta; Magnoliopsida; Rosales; Cannabaceae. The transcript is spliced from 3 exons.
CACUCUUCUCCUCUGUUCCCAUUAAUUAAGUGAGAACACAUUGAUAGAAGAUUAGUUAGUGGUAGACCAUAGACCUUCAUCCAUUCUUAUAUUCUUAUUAAUAUUCAAAAGCAUGGAAUCAAAUUUAAUUUUAAUAGAUUUGCCAUGGAAGGCAACGACAAAUUUGAGAGAAACAAGAGAUAGAAAGGAAGGGAACGGGAGGGUCUCAAGUCUUGAGGUUUUGGGGUUUCGAGAGCCUAGAGAUUCUGUCUUGGCAUUUGUUUGGGUAGCGAAUGGCUGGUGGCAAUUUGACUGUUACGAAUAGAGAUAUGCUUCGCAGGCAGCUUGGGGAUUACUAAUGUGAAAUUGGGCUCUCUUUUUUUUUAUAAGAUUAUUUCACAAAUAUUACAAAAAUAACAAAAAAUUACAAAAAUAUGGUAUAAAAUUUUAAAUAUUUUUAUGAUGUUAUUUAUAGAAAAUACGGUCUUUUAAUAUAUUUUUAUGUUGUACUUUUGUAAUUUAUUAUAUGUUAUUUUUUUGUUGUUGUUUUGAUAUUAUUUUCCAGUUAUUUUAUAUGUUUUUCUUGUU